AGAGAAUAGAUACCCGGGUAGUCCACGCCGUAAACGAUGAUUACUAGGUGUCCGGGAUGUUAACCUCCUGGGUACCGUAGCUCACGCAUUAAGUAAUCCGCCUGGGGAGUACGGUCGCAAGACUAAAACUCAAAGGAAUUGACGGGGGCCCGCACAAGCGGUGGAGUAUGUGGUUUAAUUCGAAGCAACGCGCAGAACCUUACCUGGGCUUAACAUCCCCUGACAUCCUCAGAGAUGAGGCUUUCCCUUCGGGGACAGGGAGAUAGGUGCUGCAUGGCUGUCGUCAGCUCGUGUCGUAAGAUGUUGGGUUAAGUCCCGCAACGAGCGCAACCCUUGCCUUUAGUUGCCACCAUUAAGUUGGGCACUCUGAAGGGACUGCCGGUGUUAAACCGGAGGAAGGCGGGGAUGACGUCAAGUCCUCAUGGCCCUUACGUCCAGGGCUACACACGUACUACAAUGGCAGAGACAAAGCGUCGCGAAGCCGCGAGGUGGAGCUAAUCGCAAAAACACUGUCUCAGUCCGGAUUGAAGUCUGCAACUCGACUUC
This 546-nucleotide ribosomal RNA is filed under the name uncultured bacterium. Its description in RNAcentral is "bacterial SSU rRNA". It matches the Rfam family "Bacterial small subunit ribosomal RNA", at positions 774 to 1319 of the family's 1533-position model. The record is from RNAcentral.